UGACAGCAGGUCCUGUAGUCUACAGAGGUAAGGAGACUGACAGCAGGUCCUGUAGUCUACAGAGGUAAGGAGACUGACAGCAGGUCCUGUAGUCUACAGAGGUAAGGAGACUGACAGCAGGUCCUGUAGUCUACAGAGGUAAGGAGACUGACAGCAGGUCCUGUAGUCUACAGAGGUAAGGAGACUGACAGCAGGUCCUGUAGUCUACAGAGGUAAGGAGACUGACAGCAGGUCCUGUAGUCUACAGAGGUAAGGAGACUGACAGCAGGUCCUGUAGUCUACAGAGGUAAGGAGACUGACAGCAGGUCCUGUAGUCUACAGAGGUAAGGAGACUGACAGCAGGUCCUGUAGUCUACAGAGGUAAGGAGACUGACAGCAGGUCCUGUAGUCUACAGAGGUAAGGAGACUGACAGCAGGUCCUGUAGUCUACAGAGGUAAGGAGACUGACAGCAGGUCCUGUAGUCUACAGAGGUAAGGAGACUGACAGCAGGUCCUGUAGUCUACAGAGGUAAGGAGACUGACAGCAGGUCCUGUAGUCUACAGAGGUAAGGAGACUGACAGCAGGUCCUGUAGUCUACAGAGGUAAGGAGACUGACAGCAGGUCCUGUAGUCUACAGAGGUAAGGAGACUGACAGCAGGUCCUGUAGUCUACAGAGGUAAGGAGACUGACAGCAGGUCCUGUAGUCUACAGAGGUAAGGAGACUGACAGCAGGUCCUGUAGUCUACAGAGGUAAGGAGACUGACAGCAGGUCCUGUAGUCUACAGAGGUAAGGAGACUGACAGCAGGUCCUGUAGUCUACAGAGGUAAGGAGACUGACAGCAGGUCCUGUAGUCUACAGAGGUAAGGAGACUGACAGCAGGUCCUGUAGUCUACAGAGGUAAGGAGACUGACAGCAGGUCCUGUAGUCUACAGAGGUAAGGAGACUGACAGCAGGUCCUGUAGUCUACAGAGGUAAGGAGACUGACAGCAGGUCCUGUAGUCUACAGAGGUAAGGAGACUGACAGCAGGUCCUGUAGUCUACAGAGGUAAGGAGACUGACAGCAGGUCCUGUAGUCUACAGAGGUAAGGAGACUGACAGCAGGUCCUGUAGUCUACAGAGGUAAGGAGACUGACAGCAGGUCCUGUAGUCUACAGAGGUAAGGAGACUGACAGCAGGUCCUGUAGUCUACAGAGGUAAGG
Oncorhynchus keta (chum salmon) is the source of this 1180-nucleotide long non-coding RNA. RefSeq lists it as uncharacterized. NCBI's taxonomy places the organism in Eukaryota, Metazoa, Chordata, Actinopteri, Salmoniformes, Salmonidae. The record is from RefSeq and is a predicted model, not a curated record. The transcript has 3 exons.